Molecule: ribosomal RNA, 253 nt
Filed under: uncultured bacterium
Lineage: Bacteria
Description: partial 16S ribosomal RNA
Rfam family: Bacterial small subunit ribosomal RNA
Source: RNAcentral
UACGGAGGGUGCAAGCGUUGCUCGGAAUUAUUGGGCGUAAAGGGUAGGUAGGUGGUCUUAUUUGUCUAAGGUGAAAGCCUCGGGCUUAACCCGAGAAGUGCCUCAGAAACGGUAAGACUAGAGUCCUAGAGAGGGUCGUGGAAUUCCCGGUGUAGCGGUGAAAUGCGUAGAGAUCGGGAGGAACACCAGAGGCGAAGGCGGCGACCUGGAUAGGCACUGACACUCAACUACGAAAGCGUGGGGAGCAAACAGG